Molecule: ribosomal RNA, 484 nt
Filed under: uncultured bacterium
Lineage: Bacteria
Description: bacterial SSU rRNA
Rfam family: Bacterial small subunit ribosomal RNA
Source: RNAcentral
GUUCGGCUGGACGGUGCACAGGUGCUGCAUGGCUGUCGUCAGCUCGUGUCGUGAGAUGUUCGGUUAAGUCCGGCAACGAGCGCAACCCUCGUUCCUAGUUGCCAGCGGGUAAUGCCGGGGACUCUAGGAAGACAAACCUCGUGUAGAGGUGGGAAGGUGGGGACGACGUCAAGUCAGUAUGGCCCUUACGACCAGGGCUGCACACGUGCUACAAUGCCCAGCACAAUGGGAUGCAACACCGCGAGGUUGAGCAAAUCCACAAAACUGGGCCCAGUUCGGAUUGGAGUCUGCAACUCGACUCCAUGAAGUUGGAAUCGCUAGUAAUGGCGUAUCAGCAACGACGCCGUGAAUACGUUCCCGGGCCUUGUACACACCGCCCGUCACAUCAAGAAAGCCGGUUCUGCCCGAAGUACGUGAGUUAACCGCAAGGAGACAGCGUCCUAAGGUGGGGCUGGUGAUUUGGAUGAAGUCGUAACAAGUAGCC